RNAcentral lists this ribosomal RNA (433 nucleotides) under uncultured bacterium. Its description in RNAcentral is "partial 16S ribosomal RNA". It matches the Rfam family "Bacterial small subunit ribosomal RNA", at positions 29 to 507 of the family's 1533-position model. The record is from RNAcentral.
AACGAACGCUGGCGGCAUGCCUAACACAUGCAAGUCGAACGAGACCUCCGGGCCUCUGGGCUCACGUGUGCGGAACGCGCAGGAACCUGCCCGUAAGUUCGGAAUAACUCCCCAAAAGGGGUUCUAAUACCGGACAAAGUCUUCGAGCCCAUCAGUUAUCGCCUUUGGGUGGGCCGGGGCUGGAUUAGCUGGUUGGUAGGGGCAAAGCCUGCCAACAGGACGAUCCAUAGCUGGUCUGGGAGGAUGCCCAGCCACAAUGGGGCUGCGACACGGCCCAGAACCCUACGGCAGGCAGUCGUGGGCACUAUUGGCCAUGGGGCGACAGCUGGAUCCAGCCAUGCCGCGUGCGUGCUGAAGGCCUUAGGGUUGUAAACCUCUUUUACCCGGGAUGAUAAUGACAGUACCGGGAGAAUAAGCUCCGGCUACCUCCGUG